CCUACGGGGGGCUGCAGUGGGGAAUAUUGGACAAUGGGGGCAACCCUGAUCCAGCCAUGCCGCGUGUGUGAAGAAGGCCCUCGGGUUGUAAAGCACUUUCAGUGAGGAAGAACGCCUGGUGGUUAAUACCCAUCGGGAAAGACAUCACUCACAGAAGAAGCACCGGCUAACUCCGUGCCAGCAGCCGCGGUAAUACGGAGGGUGCGAGCGUUAAUCGGAAUUACUGGGCGUAAAGCGCGCGUAGGUGGCUUGAUAAGCCGGUUGUGAAAGCCCCGGGCUCAACCUGGGAACGGCAUCCGGAACUGUCAAGCUAGAGUGCAGGAGAGGAAGGUAGAAUUCCCGGUGUAGCGGUGAAAUGCGUAGAGAUCGGGAGGAAUACCAGUGGCGAAGGCGGCCUUCUGGACUGACACUGACACUGAGGUGCGAAAGCGUGGGUAGCAAACAGGAUUAGAUACCCUAGUAGUC
This 465-nucleotide ribosomal RNA is filed under the name Vreelandella stevensii. Its description in RNAcentral is "partial 16S ribosomal RNA". It matches the Rfam family "Bacterial small subunit ribosomal RNA", at positions 338 to 795 of the family's 1533-position model. The record is from RNAcentral. Lineage: Bacteria; Pseudomonadati; Pseudomonadota; Gammaproteobacteria; Oceanospirillales; Halomonadaceae.